Long non-coding RNA from Brassica napus (rape), 1279 nucleotides. RefSeq lists it as uncharacterized. The transcript has 3 exons. The record is from RefSeq and is a predicted model, not a curated record. NCBI's taxonomy places the organism in Eukaryota, Viridiplantae, Streptophyta, Magnoliopsida, Brassicales, Brassicaceae.
UCUGAGAGUUAUUAGUUUCUUCUCGAACUCUUGAAAUCACAUUGAUCAAACAUGUGGAGUCAAAAUCCAAGUUUCAGGUUUAAGAUAGAGGAGUUUCGGAAGAAGAAAGCUGAUCACAUAUUGUCUAAGGUUUUCGUUGCUGGCGGAUGCGAAUGGCAAAACAACAAGAAGACUCUUCAAAACCUAAUUCUCUUCUCCAAGAUUUGAUGUAUUCGAUUUAUACGUAGCAUUUAUUAACAAGGGUUUAAUUAAUAUUUGUUACAGGUUCCUCUACGUUUAUCCCAAGGGAUGUGAACUUGCUGAUGAUCACUUGUCUGUAUUUCUGCGCAUUGCAAAACCUAAAUCAUUGCCAAUUGGAUGGAAAAGGAAUGUUAGUGUUUACUUCAUCGUGUUGAAUCAUCGCAAUAUAGAGCACUGCAGAUCAAACAUUUUACAAGGCACAUUUGAGGCUGAGCAUCCAGGAUGGGGAUACGAAAAGUUAUUUCCUCUUAGCGAACUUAAGGAGGAAGGGUUUAUGGGGAAGGACAGUCUCAUCAUUGAAGUCUACAUUAAUGUGAUUGAAGCUGUGGACGGAGACAGCGAAGAUGUAUCAGAGAAAGAGACUGUGGAUAUCAACGGUUUUCAGGUUUCUGCUUCUCAUGUUGAUUUAGUGAAGAAGAUAUUCGCAGAGCAUCCAGACAUUGCAUUAGGCUUCAAACCAAAGAACCAAGUGGUGAAGAGAGCAUACACUACAAGAAAUAUCGGUAUUAAUAGCACCCGAUAAACGCUAUCAUAUCGUUUUCAUAGCGUUUCGAAGAACGCCGUGACAGCCGCAGCUAUAAUAGAUCCCCCUCUAGCGUAGCGUUUUUCGCGUGCUGUAACAAUAUACAGAUAUUAUAGCGUUGGUCCUAUGUUAUAUUAUACCUAUUUAUAGCGAUUUCUUUUCGCUAUUUAAAUAUUUUAUGUGGCACUUUUCGUGUGCCAUAAAAUAUUUUGUUAUGACAUUUGUUUUUUGUCAUAGAAUACCUUUUUGUAACUCAGUUUUUUUUGGAUUUUUGAACAUUUAAUAGCAAUUUUUUUGUGCCAUUGAAUAUUAUAAUACAGCGUUUUACUUGUGCUAUGACGUUUAUAUUCUAGGUAAUACUGAAUAGCUAAUAUUUUAAACCGGUUUAUAAAUGAUUUUGGUUUAUAUUAAAAUCUUGGUUUACAAUCGGUUUAUAAAUUAAACCAGAUUACAAAAAAUUUCAGUUUACAAACUAAACCAGUUUACAUACAAACCAGGUUUAAAAACAAAAUCUAA